AGAGUUUGAUCCUGGCUCAGGACGAACGCUGGCGGCGUGCCUAAUUCAUGCAAGUAGAACGCUGAAGGAGGAGCUUGCUUCUCUGGAUGAGUUGCGAACGGGUGAGUAACGCGUAGGUAACCUGCCUGGUAGCGGGGGAUAACUAUUGGAAACGAUAGCUAAUACCGCAUAAGAGUGGAUGUUGCAUGACAUUUGCUUAAAAGGUGCACUUGCAUCACUACCAGAUGGACCUGCGUUGUAUUAGCUAGUUGGUGGGGUAACGGCUCACCAAGGCGACGAUACAUAGCCGACCUGAGAGGGUGAUCGGCCACACUGGGACUGAGACACGGCCCAGACUCCUACGGGAGGCAGCAGUAGGGAAUCUUCGGCAAUGGACGGAAGUCUGACCGAGCAACGCCGCGUGAGUGAAGAAGGUUUUCGGAUCGUAAAGCUCUGUUGUAAGAGAAGAAUGAGUGUGAGAGUGGAAAGUUCACACUGUGACGGUAUCUUACCAGAAAGGGACGGCUAACUACGUGCCAGCAGCCGCGGUAAUACGUAGGUCCCGAGCGUUGUCCGGAUUUAUUGGGCGUAAAGCGAGCGCAGGCGGUUAGAUAAGUCUGAAGUUAAAGGCUGUGGCUUAACCAUAGUAGGCUUUGGAAACUGUUUAACUUGAGUGCAAGAGGGGAGAGUGGAAUUCCAUGUGUAGCGGUGAAAUGCGUAGAUAUAUGGAGGAACACCGGUGGCGAAAGCGGCUCUCUGGCUUGUAACUGACGCUGAGGCUCGAAAGCGUGGGGGGCAAACAGGAUUAGAUACCCUGGUAGUCCACGCUGUAAACGAUGAGUGCUAGGUGUUAGACCCUUUCCGGGGUUUAGUGCCGUAGCUAACGCAUUAAGCACUCCGCCUGGGGAGUACGACCGCAAGGUUGAAACUCAAAGGAAUUGACGGGGGCCCGCACAAGCGGUGGAGCAUGUGGUUUAAUUCGAAGCAACGCGAAGAACCUUACCAGGUCUUGACAUCCCUCUGACCGCUCUAGAGAUAGAGCUUUCCUUCGGGACAGAGGUGACAGGUGGUGCAUGGUUGUCGUCAGCUCGUGUCGUGAGAUGUUGGGUUAAGUCCCGCAACGAGCGCAACCCCUAUUGUUAGUUGCCAUCAUUUAGUUGGGCACUCUAGCGAGACUGCCGGUAAUAAACCGGAGGAAGGUGGGGAUGACGUCAAAUCAUCAUGCCCCUUAUGACCUGGGCUACACACGUGCUACAAUGGCUGGUACAACGAGUCGCAAGCCGGUGACGGCAAGCUAAUCUCUUAAAGCCAGUCUCAGUUCGGAUUGUAGGCUGCAACUCGCCAACAUGAAGUCGGAAUCGCUAGUAAUCGCGGAUCAGCACGCCGCGGUGAAUACGUUCCCGGGCCUUGUACACACCGCCCGUCACACCACGAGAGUUUGUAACACCCGAAGUCGGUGAGGUAACCGUAAGGAGCCAGCCGCCUAAGGUGGGAUAGAUGAUUGGGGUGAAGUCGUAACAAGGUAGCCGUAUCGGAAGGUGCGGCUG
This 1526-nucleotide ribosomal RNA is filed under the name Streptococcus pneumoniae. RNAcentral describes it as "bacterial SSU rRNA". It matches the Rfam family "Bacterial small subunit ribosomal RNA". The record is from RNAcentral. Lineage: Bacteria; Bacillati; Bacillota; Bacilli; Lactobacillales; Streptococcaceae.